Clupea harengus (Atlantic herring) is the source of this 2608-nucleotide long non-coding RNA. NCBI's taxonomy places the organism in Eukaryota, Metazoa, Chordata, Actinopteri, Clupeiformes, Clupeidae. The record is from Ensembl.
GAAAGAAUAAAAAAAAUAAAAAAAACCAGUAUUACUGUUGGGGCAAAACAGUGUUUUGCUAAGCAGUGUCCAUUGAAGAUAUUGUACAGUUCAGUGUACUUAAUUUUUAGUGAAGGAUAUUCCUAUAUGUGUAUAUAAUAUGCAUAUCAAAUAUCCCUCUUGUCCAUAACCUAGGUCCUAUGAUCAUGCAGUAGGCUGCAGUUUCAAAAGUAUUAUUUGAAUCAACUGCAUUUUGUCAAUGUUGGAAAAAAAAAUGUUUGAAUCUAUCGCAAUAUGGUGUGUUGUGGUCUUGGUCGAUUUUUAUUUUGUUUCUUGUUUGUAUAUUAUUUUUGUUCUUUCUUUCUUUCUGGUACAACAUGCUGGCCUUAGACUCCAUACACAGCCCAAAAUGGAGUCUAUAAUCUUGUGUUUUUUUCUGUUUUGCUUUAUUUUUUUCCCCUCUUGUGGACCUGUGAAAGGUCAGUGUCCUCAUCUCAGCGAUAUGUUUACAUGCAGCCCUGGCUUCCCCUGGUGAAGGAUCACAUAAUCGUCAUAUCAGCUGUGUCACUCAGUUGGUUCGUCUGUGCAAGUCCACCCCAUGGUUUCCCCAUUUGUCCUGUUGCGUCAUUCAGUGUCAAACAGUAGAUUUUUUUUUUUCGUCGUCGUUCUCUAACCUGCUAGCUUGUAGUCCUCCUCAGUAAUGUGAGAAGUUGUGAGAAUCUUCUAUCCGCAAGGCCAUUUUACAACAGUCCUCAAUCAGGGUAGACAUCAUGGUAAAUGUGUCUCUCUCCUUACGCAACUUGCGAGCUGAGAUCGUUAACUCACCUCGGUAUCAUUUGGAUCCAACAUGCAGCUCCCUCCUAAACUGUGAACGCUUGAAUUGAGUGUUUUUUUAUUUUGUCAGCAUCGGCAUACGGUACUCAACUAUCCCCUCAGACUGUAACAGGUGCUAUGGAUUGUGUCUAGGACUUCCCUCAGCUGCUAUUACAUGGCUCUCUGUGGCACUGUAAGGAGCUCUUCAUCCUUCUGAACAGCGUGAUGAUAUGUGACCGCACUCAACAUAACAUUGAGCAUCUGUAUCAGUUCAGGCAUACUGUACAUUGUCAUUCUUUAUGUUUGAACAGAAAGGGGCGCUGGGUCGUCUAAAGCCAACAUCACCACAGUCAGCCAACUGUGGAAUGGCCCACAUACUCUUGACACUUGGCAUAGCUCAAGCAGGUAUGGUGGAGCCCAUAAGGAUGGCUUCUGUGGCUUAUUCCCAAGACAUGGCUAUGUGUCGAGUUAUGAACACGCGCACACACACGCACACACCGCCCAGAUUUGGCAUGCUAACUGCAGGUGUUUAACCUGCCCCAACAUGGCAUUAAGACAGCAGAGGUGAUUGCGGUUUACCCAAAUCCUGGCAACUGAAGUCAACCAGGAGAUGUUUCAAAAACAAUUACUGCUGUUAUUGAAAUCAAAAUGUUAGGAGAGAGAGAGUAAUCAUUAUUCAAAAAUGUUGGCCAUUGAUUGGUGGAAUAUUUGGACAACUUUAUAAGUUUUCAGAAAGUGUUGAACUAUUUGUUUUGAAUACAUUAUCAUGCUAGCUAUCAACACGUAUAUCGUUAUGGUACAAUAUGUAUCCUUAACAUGCCCCCUAUUAAAUUACAAAAGGGUUUGGUGUUAAGGACCUGUACGUAAUUAGCUGUACGUUAUUUUGUCCACACACCCUUGUUUACAAAAUCAAGUAGUCAAAAUGUCAACUCUUAAAUUUGUUCCUCAUAAGCGAAAAAAAAAGAAGUAUAAAACAAAACAAAAAGACAUUAUGCAGGCAAGGGAGCUCAGUUUCUAAAAUAAGCAAGGUGGGACACUACGUUUACCACGUUAGUCAACAUGUGGCCCUUAUCCUAGUAGGCUAGGCCUAUUUGUGACAACGUGGUUAUAUACCGCUGGCUAAAUAAUAUUUAAAAAGUAAUUUGCGCUCUACCAUGUCAAGACAGACUGGUGUUUUGGUAGAGCUUUUAAUUGAGAGCUAGCUGGGGCAGAAUGGCAACAUACCUGAUCUUGGGGGCUGAUGACCUGUGUCACUUUUUGACAUUCGCUCACUUAGCCUGCAUAUGUCAUUGUCAGCGGAUCGUGUUUUACAAAACGCAGAUUUAAAGUUUUAAAAGUGACAUUUUCUAACGUGAGAUUGGAAGUUAUUAUUAUCUUGAUAGGCUUGGCAACUAAUGUGAUAUGAUUUCAUACAAGACUGUAUUUUCAACGUUUCUGAAUGAGUCAAGUUGACGUAACGACAAAGCAUGGCUGAAUAUUCCAAUUAUAUUGUCUCGCGCUCGAACAUCGUGCACGCUGGCCCUGACCAGAGCCCAGGAGGAGACGCAGGCUGCGUAGGGAGCUCUUGUGUGUUUUUGCGUCUCAUUUCACCUUUCUUGAAAUCGGUUGUCGGUGAUGAAAUCCUCUCUAGGCAGGUUAUGGUGUCCUGAGCACCAGAUCACUCAACACUAAUGCAUUGAAAAUUUAUGUUGAAUGUUUUUUUUUUCCCCCUCUAUUAAGUUCUGGUUUUGUUUUGUUUUGGCUUUUUUACACCUUCAAAUGUGGCCUAUUCUUAGCUGGCUAUGUGUUAUACCUCUUUUUGUACAAAAUAAGUAAA